This 493-nucleotide ribosomal RNA is filed under the name uncultured bacterium. Its description in RNAcentral is "bacterial SSU rRNA". It matches the Rfam family "Bacterial small subunit ribosomal RNA", at positions 28 to 521 of the family's 1533-position model. The record is from RNAcentral.
GAUGAACGCUAGCGGCAGGCUUAACACAUGCAAGUCGAGGGGUAUUGGUUUUCGGACCAAGAGACCGGCGCACGGGUGCGUAACGCGUAUGCAAUCUACCUUUUGCAGAGGGAUAGCCCAGAGAAAUUUGGAUUAAUACCUCAUAGUAUAGUACUUUGGCAUCAAGGAACUAUUAAAGUCACAACGGCAAAAGAUGAGCAUGCGUCCCAUUAGCUAGUUGGUAAGGUAGCGGCUUACCAAGGCUACGAUGGGUAGGGGUCCUGAGAGGGAGAUCCCCCACACUGGUACUGAGACACGGACCAGACUCCUACGGGAGGCAGCAGUGAGGAAUAUUGGUCAAAUGGGCGCAAGCCUGAACCAGCCAUGCCGCGUGCAGGAAGACGGUCCUAUGGAUUGUAAACUGCUUUUGUACAGGAAGAAACACUACUUCGUGAAGUAGCUUGACGGUACUGUAAGAAUAAGGAUCGGCUAACUCCGUGCCAGCAGCCGCGGU